This 318-nucleotide ribosomal RNA is filed under the name Triticum aestivum (bread wheat). RNAcentral describes it as "partial small subunit ribosomal RNA". The record is from RNAcentral. Lineage: Eukaryota; Viridiplantae; Streptophyta; Magnoliopsida; Poales; Poaceae.
AUGUGUCAAGUUUGUAUGACUUUGUACACUGAUAUAUGUCCUGAACUCUUGAUCAAAAUUGACACAAGAAGCUUGUUUAAUUGUUUCCUCUACUAUUAUGAUACUUUUUUGUCUGUGUUUUAUACGAACUUCAAGAGGAGCUGGUUCUCGUGGCGCCUGUAUUACAAUGAUGAAAAAAUAUUGUCAACAUGUUUGUCUCCGAUCUUGAGGAAGCAUCUUCUUGAGGAGCUGGAAGAAGAUUUUCCAGAUGAUGUUGAAGCAUACAGACAGAUACGUGCUACUUCUAAUGUUGUAAGUGGAAAUUGCAUGUAUUCUUAG